CUACAGAGGGUGCGAGCGUUAAUCGGAAUUACUGGGCGUAAAGCGCGCGUAGGCGGCUUAUUAAGUCAGAUGUGAAAUCCCAGGGCUCAACCUUGGAACUGCAUCUGAUACUGGUAAGCUAGAGUUUAGGAGAGGGAAGUAGAAUUUCAGGUGUAGCGGUGAAAUGCACAGAGAUCUGAAGGAAUACCAGUGGCGAAGGCGACUUCCUGGCCUAAAACUGACGCUGAGGUGCGAAAGCGUGGGUAGCAAACGGGAUUAGAAACCCUAGUAGUCC
This 274-nucleotide ribosomal RNA is filed under the name uncultured bacterium. Its description in RNAcentral is "partial 16S ribosomal RNA". It matches the Rfam family "Bacterial small subunit ribosomal RNA", at positions 523 to 796 of the family's 1533-position model. The record is from RNAcentral.